Amylocystis lapponica is the source of this 82-nucleotide non-coding RNA. The record is from the annotation of a GenBank genome assembly. Lineage: Eukaryota; Fungi; Basidiomycota; Agaricomycetes; Polyporales; Postiaceae.
UCCGAUAUGGUGUAACGGCUAACAUUACCGCCUUUCAUACUGCGUCUCGCGGUAGCUCGGGGUUCGAUUCCCCGUAUCGGAG